This 550-nucleotide small RNA is filed under the name Pan troglodytes (chimpanzee). RNAcentral's name for it is "retained intron". The record is from RNAcentral. Lineage: Eukaryota; Metazoa; Chordata; Mammalia; Primates; Hominidae.
ACAAUUGUGGCUAUUAAUAAAGACCCAGAAGCUCCAAUUUUCCAAGUGGCAGAUUAUGGAAUAGUUGCAGAUUUAUUUAAGGUAGUUCCUGAAAUGACUGAGAUAUUGAAGAAAAAAUGAAUCAGGAUCAUGCCUUAAAAAGAAAACUUAUGUUAAAGUAUUCCACUGAAAUCACAGAUAUUUGUGGGUAUUAUAACAAUCAUUGGAAAGCAUGGAGAGCUACAUUUCAUAAUUUGAGGGAAAUUUUCUAACAGAUGCCAGAAUGCUUGUUUAUGGGAUUACUAUGUUUCCUUUUAAUUAUUUGUGCUUCCAAACAAUUAUUGUUUGAAAUUUUUAAAUUCUGUACUAAAAUCUAUAAUAAAGCUUUUCCACAGCUUUAAAACUAUCAGAAAUAUGCCUAGCCUCUAGAGAAAAUUGAAGAAAAGGAGUAAAAAUUUUGUUUAUUUAUUUAUUUUUUUGCCUUUCUUGUUCAUGGAGAGCUCUGUGUUUUAGGAAGAUUGUAAACAUGAUUGUCUCCACCAGCCUAAUCAACCUAACUAAUCUCAUUGUU